AACGAACGCUGGCGGCAUGCCUAACACAUGCAAGUCGAACGAGACCUUCGGGUCUAGUGGCGCACGGGUGCGUAACGCGUGGGAACCUGCCCUUAGGUUCGGAAUAACUCCCCGAAAGGGGUGCUAAUACCGGAUAAUGUCUUCGGACCAAAGAUUUAUCGCCUUUGGAUGGGCCCGCGUUGGAUUAGCUAGUUGGUAGGGUAAAAGCCUACCAAGGCGACGAUCCAUAGCUGGUCUGAGAGGAUGAUCAGCCACACUGGGACUGAGACACGGCCCAGACUCCUACGGGAGGCAGCAGUGGGGAAUAUUGGACAAUGGGCGAAAGCCUGAUCAAGCAAUGCCGCGUGAGUGAUGAAGGCCUUAGGGUUGUAAAGCUCUUUUACCCGGGAUGAGAAUGACAGUACCGGGAGAAUAAGCACCGGCUAACUCCGUG
RNAcentral lists this ribosomal RNA (433 nucleotides) under uncultured bacterium. Its description in RNAcentral is "partial 16S ribosomal RNA". It matches the Rfam family "Bacterial small subunit ribosomal RNA", at positions 29 to 507 of the family's 1533-position model. The record is from RNAcentral.